This 70-nucleotide transfer RNA is filed under the name Staphylococcus epidermidis. Its description in RNAcentral is "tRNA-Lys". The stretch from base 3 to 59 matches the Rfam family "tRNA", at positions 9 to 63 of the family's 71-position model. From Rfam's summary of the family: Transfer RNA (tRNA) molecules are approximately 80 nucleotides in length. The record is from RNAcentral. Lineage: Bacteria; Bacillati; Bacillota; Bacilli; Caryophanales; Staphylococcaceae.
GGAGCUCAGUUGGUAGAGCAUCUGACUUUUAAUCAGAGGGUCAGAGGUUCGAAUCCUCUAUGGCUCACCA